This 280-nucleotide ribosomal RNA is filed under the name uncultured Staphylococcus sp. Its description in RNAcentral is "partial 16S ribosomal RNA". It matches the Rfam family "Bacterial small subunit ribosomal RNA", at positions 505 to 784 of the family's 1533-position model. Lineage: Bacteria; Bacillati; Bacillota; Bacilli; Caryophanales; Staphylococcaceae. The record is from RNAcentral.
GUGCCAGCAGCCGCGGUAAUACGUAGGUGGCAAGCGUUAUCCGGAAUUAUUGGGCGUAAAGCGCGCGUAGGCGGUUUUUUAAGUCUGAUGUGAAAGCCCACGGCUCAACCGUGGAGGGUCAUUGGAAACUGGAAAACUUGAGUGCAGAAGAGGAAAGUGGAAUUCCAUGCGUAGCGGUGAAAUGCGCAGAGAUAUGGAGGAACACCAGUGGCGAAGGCGACUUUCUGGUCUGUAACUGACGCUGAUGUGCGAAAGCGUGGGGAUCAAACAGGAUUAGAUA